AAUAAGUGCAGUUUUAGCACUGUUCAUGUUCCACGUUUAACCGUUCGUCUUAUUUAAAAAAGAUUAUGAUUAGAAUUUUUAUUGUUAUUAGAUGAUAAAACAUGAAUAGUACUUUAUGUGUGACUAAAUUUUUUAAUAUUUUUUUAUAAAUUUUUCAAAUAAGACGGAUGGUCAAAACGCUAAACACGAAUAUCUAUGACUUUACUUAUU
This is a non-coding RNA of Oryza glumipatula, 210 nucleotides long. The record is from Rfam. Lineage: Eukaryota; Viridiplantae; Streptophyta; Magnoliopsida; Poales; Poaceae.